GGGGAAUUUUCCGCAAUGGGCGCAAGCCUGACGGAGCAAUACCGCGUGGAGGACGACGGCCUGUGGGUCUUAAACUCCUUUUCUUAGAGAAGAAGUUCUGACGGCAUCUAAGGAAUAAGCAUCGGCUAACUCCGUGCCAGCAGCCGCGGUAAUACGGAGGAGGCAAGCGUUAUCCGGAAUUAUUGGGCGUAAAGAGUCCGUAGGUGGUCAGACAAGUCUGCUGUUAAAGACAGAAGCUCAACUUCUGGAGAGCAGUGGAAACUGUCCGACUAGAGAAUGGUAGGGGUAGAGGGAAUUCCCAGUGUAGCGGUGAAAUGCGUAGAGAUUGGGAAGAACAUCGGUGGCGAAAGCGCUCUACUGGGCCAUAACUGACACUGAGGGACGAAAGCUAGGG
RNAcentral lists this ribosomal RNA (394 nucleotides) under uncultured cyanobacterium. Its description in RNAcentral is "bacterial SSU rRNA". It matches the Rfam family "Bacterial small subunit ribosomal RNA", at positions 356 to 765 of the family's 1533-position model. Lineage: Bacteria; Bacillati; Cyanobacteriota. The record is from RNAcentral.